RNAcentral lists this long non-coding RNA (486 nucleotides) under Hordeum vulgare. Its description in RNAcentral is "long non-coding RNA (HVUL_LNC019814)". The record is from RNAcentral. Lineage: Eukaryota; Viridiplantae; Streptophyta; Magnoliopsida; Poales; Poaceae.
AUGGAUAUAGCUGUGCUCUGAAUCACCUGAUGGGCAUAGAUGGGCUAUGAGUCAAUCUGCAUGAAGUGUCGAUUUUUUUUACGGAAGAAGAUUCAGGUACAAUAAAAAUCCAAUGAAGAAAAAGUAAGUAGGACGAAUUUAAGCACAACACGACAAAAUAACCGAACAAAAGAUAGCUGAAUUCGAAUUUAGGAGAAAAGAUAGGAUGAUCAACCGGCAAGAAAAAAAACCAAAACAAAGUAAGUGAGAUACAAACCAAAUCUAGAUCGGGAAAACAAAUGUGAGGAAGUAACCCCUUCACCAUGGCAUAUCCUUGGCGCAACUUGCUUGCAUUAGUUUGAGAGAGCAAUAGCUUUGGUUUCAACGGGGGAGAGAGAGAGAUUGGAGAGAGGAAGGGGCUGGUUUCAACGGGGAGAGAGAGAUUGGAGAGAGGAAGGGAUGGUGGAAUACGUACUUCCAUGGGAGAGAUAGAUAACGGAGAGGAAG